This is a long non-coding RNA of Prinia subflava (tawny-flanked prinia), 116 nucleotides long. RefSeq lists it as uncharacterized. The transcript is spliced from 3 exons. Lineage: Eukaryota; Metazoa; Chordata; Aves; Passeriformes; Cisticolidae. The record is from RefSeq and is a predicted model, not a curated record.
ACAGCAAUCUGCACUAGGUCCAUGCAGUUGGAAAAAGAAGGGUGUCCAACGAGUAAAGAGGUCUAAGUCCCCUGUGGCUGAACAGGUGAAGCUUCUGCGGGAGUGAUGCCCGGCUG